Molecule: ribosomal RNA, 999 nt
Filed under: Triticum aestivum (bread wheat)
Lineage: Eukaryota; Viridiplantae; Streptophyta; Magnoliopsida; Poales; Poaceae
Description: partial small subunit ribosomal RNA
Source: RNAcentral
AUGGGCGGCGGCGGCGGCGGCGGCGCGGAGGAGGAGGAGCUGACGGCGCAGGAGACAGCGCUCUACGACCGCCAGAUCCGCGUCUGGGGCGUCGAUGCCCAGAAGAGGCUAAGUAAGGCGCAUGUGCUUGUGUGCGGCGUGAACGGUACUACUAUUGAGUUCUGCAAGAAUAUUGUUCUAGCAGGAGUUGGCAGUUUAUCCUUGAUGGACGAUCACAUAGUCACAGAGGAUGAUCUCAAUUCAAACUUCCUAAUUCCUCAUGAUGAGAGUGUGUAUGGUGGUAAAUCACGGGCAGAGGUUUGCUGCGAGUCCUUAAAAGAUUUCAAUCCAAUGGUCCGAGUUGCUGUUGCAAAAGGUGACCCAUCACUUAUUGAUGGAACAUUCAUUGACAGGUUCGACAUUAUUGUACUCAGCCGCGCAUCUCUUAAAACAAAGUUGUUUAUUAAUGACAACUGCCGGAAAAGAAGCAAGCAUAUUGCCUUCUACUCUGUAGACUGCAAGGAUUCUUGUGGUGAAAUAUUUGUUGAUCUGCAGAACCAUAGCUAUCUUCAGAAGAAGCCUGGAGGAGAACCUGAACAGCAGGAGUUGAAAUAUCCUAGUCUGCAGGAAGCUAUUUCUGUGCCCUGGAAGGAUCUGUCCAAAAAAACAACUAAAUUGUACUACGCCAUGAGAGUCUUGGAAAGUUAUGAAUCAUCUGAAGGGCGCGACCCCGGUGAGACAUCACUUUCUGAUCUACCUGCAGUUUUGGCUCUGAGGAAGGAUAUGUGUGAUAGAAUGUCUUUGGAUGAGUCUCGAAUUCCUACGUCUCUCCUGGAACGGCUUCUAGCAGCUGGGAAAAAGGAACAUCCUCCUGUAUGUGCAAUCCUUGGUGGCAUUCUUGGUCAGGAAGUGAUUAAGUCAAUAUCUUGUAAAGGCGAUCCGAUCAAGAAUUUCUUUUACUACGACGCCGCUGAUGGUAAAGGGGCCAUGGAGGACACCCCCCCAACUCCUGAAGAUUGA